AUUUAAUGAUGGGGACAACUUGCACAGAGCUUCUUAAAUUGCUCCUAAUAUUCAUACAAACUCUCUCCAUUAUACUACCGGAUGCCACGAAUUUCUUUUCUUAUGUU
Small nucleolar RNA from Hevea brasiliensis (rubber tree), 107 nucleotides. The record is from RefSeq and is a predicted model, not a curated record. NCBI's taxonomy places the organism in Eukaryota, Viridiplantae, Streptophyta, Magnoliopsida, Malpighiales, Euphorbiaceae.